CCAUAAUCAUGUGACUGACGGAAGUGGAGUUACCACGGGGAGCAUGAUUUCUUGAAGCCGACCGUCUGGGCAAACUUC
Molecule: regulatory RNA element, 78 nt
Organism: Megasphaera elsdenii
Lineage: Bacteria; Bacillati; Bacillota; Negativicutes; Veillonellales; Veillonellaceae
Rfam family: ZMP/ZTP riboswitch aptamer (pfl RNA motif)
About the family: Previously known as pfl RNA. ZMP is also known as AICAR.
Source: Rfam